AUCGUAACUCCUACGGGAGGCAGCAGUGGGGAAUUUUGGACAAUGGGGGCAACCCUGAUCCAGCAAUGCCGCGUGAGUGAAGAAGGCCUUCGGGUUGUAAAGCUCUUUUGUCAGGGAAGAAACGGUAGUAGCUAAUAUCUAUUACUAAUGACGGUACCUGAAGAAUAAGCACCGGCUAACUACGUGCCAGCAGCCGCGGUAAUACGUAGGGUGCAAGCGUUAAUCGGAAUUACUGGGCGUAGAGCGUGCGCAGGCGGUUGUGUAAGUCAGAUGUGAAAUCCCCGGGCUCAACCUGGGAAUUGCAUUUGAGACUGCACGGUUAGAGUGUGCCAGAGGGGGGUAGAAUUCCACGUGUAGCAGUGAAAUGCGUAGAUAUGUGGAGGAAUACCGAUGGCGAAGGCAGCCCCCGGGGAUAACACUGACGCUCAUGCACGAAAGCGUGGGGAGCAAACAGGAUUAGAAACCCCGGUAGUCCUAGAGC
RNAcentral lists this ribosomal RNA (481 nucleotides) under uncultured bacterium. Its description in RNAcentral is "bacterial SSU rRNA". It matches the Rfam family "Bacterial small subunit ribosomal RNA", at positions 329 to 802 of the family's 1533-position model. The record is from RNAcentral.